This 206-nucleotide ribosomal RNA is filed under the name uncultured bacterium. Its description in RNAcentral is "partial 16S ribosomal RNA". It matches the Rfam family "Bacterial small subunit ribosomal RNA", at positions 524 to 727 of the family's 1533-position model. The record is from RNAcentral.
UACAGAGGUCCCGAGCGUUGUUCGGAUUCAUUGGGCGUAAAGGGUGCGUAGGCGGCGGGGCAAGUCUGAUGUGAAAUCCCCGGGGCUCAACCCCGGAACUGCAUUGGAUACUGCCUUGCUAGAGUACUGGAGAGGGAACUGGAAUUUACGGUGUAGCAGUGAAAUGCGUAGAGAUCGUAAGGAAGGCCAGUGGGCGAAGGCGAGUU